GGGCGGUUAGCUCAGUUGGUAGAGCGCUUUCUUGACGUGAAAGAUGUCAUAGGUUCGAGUCCUAUACCGUCCACCA
Molecule: transfer RNA, 76 nt
Filed under: Candidatus Yanofskyibacteriota bacterium
Lineage: Bacteria; Candidatus Yanofskyibacteriota
Description: tRNA-Val
Rfam family: tRNA
About the family: Transfer RNA (tRNA) molecules are approximately 80 nucleotides in length. Their secondary structure includes four short double-helical elements and three loops (D, anti-codon, and T loops). Further hydrogen bonds mediate the characteristic L-shaped molecular structure. tRNAs have two regions of fundamental functional importance: the anti-codon, which is responsible for specific mRNA codon recognition, and the 3' end, to which the tRNAs corresponding amino acid is attached (by aminoacyl-tRNA synthetases). tRNAs cope with the degeneracy of the genetic code in two manners: having more than one tRNA (with a specific anti-codon) for a particular amino acid; and 'wobble' base-pairing, i.e. permitting non-standard base-pairing at the 3rd anti-codon position.
Source: RNAcentral